GAAGGAUGGUGGCCCUUCGGAGUCGUCCUGCGGGGGAAGGCUUCAAACCGCCCACUGCCGCAUUGGCUGAAGACCGUUGUGGUAAGCGAUGUGGGAAAAGGUGUCGUAAGAGGCAUCAGGU
Molecule: non-coding RNA, 121 nt
Filed under: Sinosporangium album
Lineage: Bacteria; Bacillati; Actinomycetota; Actinomycetes; Streptosporangiales; Streptosporangiaceae
Source: RNAcentral